CCCAGCUCUCAGUCAGCUGACCAGGCGAUGUGUGUCUGGCUCAGUGUUACAGUGCUGGUAGAGGAAGUCUCUGUUCUUGGUCUCAGCUCAGCAGGUUCUGUUUUAGAGUCUGCUGCUGCUGAGCUGCUGCAGAGCGCGGCCCGACGAGAGUGGCCUGUCCUGAUUCAACAGCAGGGCAGGCCUAGUACAAGGCCGCACAGG
Small nucleolar RNA from Lates calcarifer (barramundi perch), 201 nucleotides. Its record names the gene SNORA74. It matches the Rfam family "Small nucleolar RNA SNORA74". From Rfam's summary of the family: U19 belongs to the H/ACA class of snoRNAs. snoRNAs bind a number of proteins (including dyskerin, Gar1p and Nop10p in the case of the H/ACA class) to form snoRNP complexes. Lineage: Eukaryota; Metazoa; Chordata; Actinopteri; Centropomidae. The record is from Ensembl.